GACGGACGCUGGCGGCGUGCUUAACACAUGCAAGUCGAACGGAAAGGCCCUUCGGGGUACUCGAGUGGCGAACGGGUGAGUAACACGUGGGUGAUCUGCCCUGCACUUUGGGAUAAGCCUGGGAAACUGGGUCUAAUACCGAAUAGGACCACGCGCUUCAUGGUGUGUGGUGGAAAGCUUUUGCGGUGUGGGAUGGGCCCGCGGCCUAUCAGCUUGUUGGUGGGGUAAUGGCCUACCAAGGCGACGACGGGUAGCCGGCCUGAGAGGGUGACCGGCCACACUGGGACUGAGAUACGGCCCAGACUCCUACGGGAGGCAGCAGUGGGGAAUAUUGCACAAUGGGCGCAAGCCUGAUGCAGCGACGCCGCGUGAGGGAUGACGGCCUUCGGGUUGUAAACCUCUUUCAAUAGGGACGAAGCGCAAGUGACGGUACCUAUAGAAGAAGCACCGGCCAACUACGUG
Molecule: ribosomal RNA, 462 nt
Filed under: uncultured bacterium
Lineage: Bacteria
Description: partial 16S ribosomal RNA
Rfam family: Bacterial small subunit ribosomal RNA
Source: RNAcentral